This 700-nucleotide ribosomal RNA is filed under the name uncultured bacterium. RNAcentral's name for it is "bacterial SSU rRNA". It matches the Rfam family "Bacterial small subunit ribosomal RNA", at positions 772 to 1470 of the family's 1533-position model. The record is from RNAcentral.
ACAGGAUUAGAUACCCUGGUAGUCCACGCCUUAAACGAUGGACACUAAGUGUCGGCGGGUCACCGUCGGUGCCGCAGCUAACGCAGUAAGUGUCCCGCCUGGGGAGUACGCCGCAAGGUUGAAACUCAAAGGAAUUGACGGGGGCCCGCACAAGCGGUGGAGCAUGUGGUUUAAUUCGACGCAACGCGAAGAACCUUACCCAGGCUGGACAUGCAAGUAGUAAGAACCUGAAAGGGGGAUGAGCCAGAAAUGGCAGCUUGCUCAGGUGCUGCACGGCUGUCGUCAGCUCGUGCCGUGAGGUGUUGGGUUAAGUCCCGCAACGAGCGCAACCCCUGCCUUCAGUUGCCAUCGGGUCAUGCCGGGCACUCUGAAGGGACUGCCCAGGAGAACGGGGAGGAAGGUGGGGAUGACGUCAAGUCAGCAUGGCCUUUAUGUCUGGGGCUACACACGUGCUACAAUGACCGGUACAAAGGGCUGCAAACCCGUAAGGGGGAGCCAAUCCCAAAAAACCGGCCUCAGUUCAGAUUGGGGUCUGCAACCCGACCCCAUGAAGGUGGAAUCGCUAGUAAUUGCGGAUCAGCACGCCGUGGUGAAUACGUUCCCGGGCCUUGUACACACCGCCCGUCACACCACGAAAGCCUGUUGUACCUGAAGUCGCCGGAACCAACCCGUAAGGGAGGUAGUGCCCACGUAUACGUAU